Molecule: ribosomal RNA, 203 nt
Filed under: uncultured bacterium
Lineage: Bacteria
Description: partial 16S ribosomal RNA
Rfam family: Bacterial small subunit ribosomal RNA
Source: RNAcentral
GAUGAACGCUAGCGGCAGGCUUAAUACAUGCAAGUCGAGGGGCAGCAGGGUGUAGCAAUACACUCGCUGGCGACCGGCAAACGGGUGCGGAACACGUACGCAACUUACCCAAAACUGGGGAAUAGCCCGGGGAACCCGGAUUAAUACCUCGUAACAUAAUGGAGUGGCAUCACUUUAUUAUUAUAGCUCCGGCGGUUUUGGUA